UGAGGAAUAUUGGUCAAUGGGCGAGAGCCUGAACCAGCCAAGUAGCGUGCAGGAUGACGGCCCUAUGGGUUGUAAACUGCUUUUGUGUGGGGAUAAAGUGCGUGACGUGUCAUGCAUUGCAGGUACCACAUGAAUAAGGACCGGCUAAUUCCGUGCCAGCAGCCGCGGUAAUACGGAAGGUCCGGGCGUUAUCCGGAUUUAUUGGGUUUAAAGGGAGCGUAGGCUGUCUAUUAAGCGUGUUGUGAAAUAUACCGGCUCAACCGGUGGCUUGCAGCGCGAACUGGUCGACUUGAGUAUGCAGGAAGUAGGCGGAAUUCAUGGUGUAGCGAUGAAAUGCUUAGAUAUCAUGACGAACUCCGAUUGCGCAGGCAGCUUACUGUAGCAUAACUGACGCUGAUGCUCGAAAGUGCGGGUAUCAAACAGG
This 424-nucleotide ribosomal RNA is filed under the name Verrucomicrobiota bacterium. Its description in RNAcentral is "Verrucomicrobia bacterium partial 16S ribosomal RNA". It matches the Rfam family "Bacterial small subunit ribosomal RNA", at positions 355 to 776 of the family's 1533-position model. Lineage: Bacteria; Pseudomonadati; Verrucomicrobiota. The record is from RNAcentral.